CGAUGUGCAAACAAUGCAAGUGUGACUAGAGUAAAUGAACAAUGCUAGAGGGUUUAAAAACUUUCUUUACAACAAAAACAAAUAAUCAUAUCAAUAACAAUAUUGUAUAAGACUUACAAUAUCCAUAAAUGUACUCAUUAUUAUUUAAAAUGUAUAUUUCAUUAUUUUUUGAAAUGUAUAAUUUGUAUUGCUUAACGUUAAGCUGUAAAAAUAGGCUACCUUUUGUAAGGACCUCUUUGUCGUGCAUUCAUUUCACUGUAGGGAUAUCUUCUGUUUCAGCUGAAUCAUGUGGUCACUGUUGUGCAAAGAUCAAAUAUGUAUGUAACUUCCUGCAUAACUACUACACUGUGAAUAAUAAUAAUAAUAAUAAUUUCAGAACCUUUCUCAAGUCAACAUUAUAAAAAGAUAAUAAUAAUAAUAAUAAUAAUAAUAAUAAUAAUAAUAUCUAAAAAACAAAACAAAACAAAAAAAACACCGCCCACAACUCACUUGGUAGGCGUGAACAUUUAAUUGCGCGUGCGCAUUCCUUGCUCAAAUUGCAACGGUCGACUCGGAGCCGAAGAGGAGACGACAGGAGUUUCUGAAAGAGCAGCGGUGACAGACAAUUAAAAUGAGGUUCAUGCUGAUACAAUGGAUCGAAGAUCCCCCAAAAUGGGAUGUGCUUCCAACCAAUAAAAUGAUACAUGGCUGCUGUGAAAUUGGUUGUAUAUGUGACGUUUCAUACGAAGAUGAGUCAAGCCCUGCAAAAAUUUUAAACAUUGGAACUAGAUCUGCAAUGCUGAAGCAGCUAAAUACGGUCAUCAACAGGACUGGGCCUGAAGGAAAUGGAGAACAAUUAGGGAGAGGGCAGCGCAAAAAAUACCGCCGAAUACUGUCGGAGAGCUCCAGCAGUGAGGAAUAUGAGUCUGUCAACAAACAGGUUGCUGCAAAGACCAUAAACAGGAUACGAGCCAGAUCUUUUCUCCAGCAGUAUAAUCAAGAAAAAGAAUCAAACAGGGAGGCAGUAACAUCUAGAAACCGUGACAGUGAAUUUAAUGUUCAAAUACUUGCAGAACUGAGAGAAAUCAAGAGUGUUCUUUUGGAAACUCUGACACUUUUAAAAAAUGGAUGCACUCCAUUAAUGACUGUGCCAAUCCCAAACACAUUGGGAACUCCUCCUGGACCCACUUCAGAUUUGAUCCCCUGCAGUUCAGAGUCUUCUGCAGUCAUACCAGCCCCGAGUUCCUCUCUUCAGACUCUUUAUGUAAAGGAGUCUAGAAGUAAUGGUAACUGCAAAAAGGUAAGAAUUGGCUCCAACACAUCAAUCUCUGCUGAACAGUUUGCCCACGUAAAAUGGACUGAUCACAAAAAAGCCACAAAAGACCUCUUGAUGGCAGUGUUUGGAAGAGGCAUUCUCGCAACACACUGCUACAGUGGAAGAUGUUCCAAUGCAUUCAAAAACAAAGCAGCCAAGCCUCAACUUGAUUCUGAAAAAGUUUCUGACAUCAUUAGCUACAUCAAAAAUAAAUUCAAUGUUGAAGCAAAUGUAAUUAAGAAGGCCAUCUCCCAGAAAUGCACAGACGAGUGCAAGUUGGCAAAACGGCACCACAGUGAUUGUGUGUGA
Long non-coding RNA from Cyprinus carpio carpio, 1603 nucleotides. The record is from Ensembl. NCBI's taxonomy places the organism in Eukaryota, Metazoa, Chordata, Actinopteri, Cypriniformes, Cyprinidae.